Molecule: non-coding RNA, 533 nt
Organism: Misgurnus anguillicaudatus (oriental weatherfish)
Lineage: Eukaryota; Metazoa; Chordata; Actinopteri; Cypriniformes; Cobitidae
Source: RefSeq, a predicted model, not a curated record
AUGCCCAGGGAGAGCAUCAUUGGGUAAGCGAGCUGUCAUUUAGCGUUCCUUAGGUGUUGACUGGAUGAAGCCAAAAUAAAGCCAGCCAAUGCCUAGCCAACAAAGUUUUGAUUGAUGGGGAUAGUAACCAAUCAUAAACGAUUACAAGGAUUCAGUUUGAUUGGUUUGUGUCGGUAAAAUGUGCGUCUGCGAAGAUCUGCGCAAACACACGUACGCUUGCGCAACCAAAUGCUGUUAUGCUAGCGGCUAUGGCUAGUUAUACAGAGCUUAAAGAAACGAUAAGGUUUAGAUAUAAAUAUCUCCGUUUUGGAUCGUCGAUUGCAGAUUACUUUUUUGUUUUGGAGAAGGUGAUGAGGAGCACGAGCGAGGUGCAAAAAGACCAGACUCUAUCAAAAUAAAGACGCGUCACCAGAGAUGCAUUGAGCAGUGGAGCUGCUGCUCAGAUACAGGCUUCAGCUGACACAGAUGAGGACUGCAAUCUGGAGUCCAUUCCUGAGCGACCACAUUCAAAAUAAACAAGUAUUUUGUUAUAA